This 497-nucleotide ribosomal RNA is filed under the name uncultured bacterium. Its description in RNAcentral is "partial 16S ribosomal RNA". It matches the Rfam family "Bacterial small subunit ribosomal RNA", at positions 28 to 507 of the family's 1533-position model. The record is from RNAcentral.
GAUGAACGCUGGCGGCGUGCCUAAUACAUGCAAGUCGAGCGAACGGACGAGAAGCUUGCUUUUCUGAUGUUAGCGGCGGACGGGUGAGUAACACGUGGAUAACCUACCUAUAAGACUGGGAUAACUUCGGGAAACCGGAGCUAAUACCGGAUAAUAUUUUGAACCGCAUGGUUCAAAAGUGAAAGACGGUCUUGCUGUCACUUAUAGAUGGAUCCGCGCUGCAUUAGCUAGUUGGUAAGGUAACGGCUUACCAAGGCAACGAUGCAUAGCCGACCUGAGAGGGUGAUCGGCCACACUGGAACUGAGACACGGUCCAGACUCCUACGGGAGUCAGCAGUAGGGAAUCUUCCGCAAUGGGCGAAAGCCUGACGGAGCAACGCCGCGUGAGUGAUGAAGGUCUUCGGAUCGUAAAACUCUGUUAUUAGGGAAGAACAUAUGUGUAAGUAACUGUGCACAUCUUGACGGUACCUAAUCAGAAAGCCACGGCUAACUACGUG